UACCCGUGGCAUAAAAUACCCUCCAAACCGACAGCCAGAUGGGAAAAGAGGCAACGUCUGAGAAUCCAAGUCAAGUUGAUGGUCAGUCCUCCAGUGAUAACAAGAGAACAAAGGCUCAGCUGGGACCAGUGACCAGCCAGCCCAAUGGGCCUUGCCUCCCAGGAAAGAAGACGAGACACACGGAGAGGAGACAGGAAAUAAUUAUUCCAAGAGAUGAAAGAUGAAGCCAGAGGGAAUAUUAGUACAUACAGAGUGACACCAAGGAGAAGGUGUCAUCAGCCAUCUGCAAACCGAGGACAGAAGUCUCAGAGGAAACCAACACGCCCAGCACCUUGAUACUGAACUUCCAGCCUCCAGAACUACAUCCAGUCAACAAAAACACUAAAUCA
Molecule: long non-coding RNA, 389 nt
Organism: Callorhinus ursinus (northern fur seal)
Lineage: Eukaryota; Metazoa; Chordata; Mammalia; Carnivora; Otariidae
Source: RefSeq, a predicted model, not a curated record